Mobula hypostoma (lesser devil ray) is the source of this 7615-nucleotide RNA transcript. RefSeq lists it as uncharacterized. The transcript is spliced from 12 exons. The record is from RefSeq and is a predicted model, not a curated record. Lineage: Eukaryota; Metazoa; Chordata; Chondrichthyes; Myliobatiformes; Myliobatidae.
UUCCGGAGCCGGAGUUAGUUUUCACUCUCGGUGAGCUGGUUGCAGCUUUUUUUUCCAAGUGUGUGGGAGAGGUUUUAUUUUAAAUGUGAAAUGGAGGCCAGUCUGACCUGUGCAGUUUGCUUAUCGAUGUUUGAGAACCCCACUACUCUACCCGUAUGCUCGCACAAUUUUUGCAAGAAAUGUAUCUUGGAGUGCGUGACCAAGUCGUUCUGCUCGGGCAUCGGACUGGGCAGCAGCAACAACAUCUGGAGAAACAGCCAGCUCGAGUGCCCGCUGUGCCGAAAGACCAACUUCAUCGCCGACGGCGCCGUCAACCUGCCCGGCAACACCACUCUGGCCGAGGUGGUGAAGCUCUUCAGGUCGCAGCAUUGCGCUAGCGGCGGCAGUUGGCAGGAGCGAUGCGAGGAGCUGGAGGAGGGCCCGGGCCCCGGCCCCGGCCCCGGCCCCGGCCCCGGCCCCGGCGCCAGCCCCAAGAACCCGGGCGCCGGGCGUGCCACCUGCGAGCGCCACCCGCCCCGGAGCCUGCUGCUCUUCUGCAAGGUCUGCAAGCAAGUGGCGUGCGGCCAGUGCGUGUCCGAGCACCACCGCGGCGUCUUCCACUCUGUCAACUUGAUUGACAUCAUCUACCAGGAGGAAAAGCUUGAUUACUUUAACAACCUGAGAGAACUGAGACAGCUGAGUGAGAGACUAAAGGCUGAAGUUGCUGAUAAACCUUCAGAUAUGGAGCUCAUUUUGGAGUAUGAGAAAGAAAUUGUUAUGAACAAGUUCGAUGAGAUUUCAGAGAAAUUGGAAUUGAAAAAAAAGCAAUUGUUGGAAAAGAUUGAAAAACAGAUUGAAUGCAAGAAGGCUGAACGCAAAGCUAGCCUGGCAAGAAAACAAACACAGAAGGACGCAGUCGAGAAGUACUUGAAAGAUUGUGAACAGCUGGUGAAUGAAUGCGAUCCUGUAAAUUUUCUUAAGGUGGCCUGCGACUUAAAUGAAAGAGUAAGAGGCAACCUUGCUAUUGUUCUCCCUGCAUUGAAAACGCAAAAUGAAUUGGCUUGUCUGCAGCCCAGUCAGUUUCACGUAGAACCAGUUCUGGAUAGCAUCUCUGCACUUCAGUUGGACAAAGGUACAACAGAACCAAAUUGUGCUUCAGAUACCAUGGGUCAGAUAGUCGCAGAUGGUUACAAAUUUAAAACUCCUUUGAAAAUGUGGAAACAGCCCAAGGAUUUGGACAAACCAAACUUUUCUCCAAAAACAGUCUUUGACCUUCUUGAUGGCCAGGAAAAUCGCCAUUGGUGUCUUACUGCAAAAUUUGAAUAUCAGGACAUGAGUCUGGAGGAAAUGCGCUACAAAUACUACCAUUCCUAUAGGAAAGACUGGAACUGUUUCAUGAAUGAAACAUGUUCUGGAGAUGUAAAUAAUGCAACCCCUUCAGUAUCUUCCGGUACUUCUAUAGAUAGAUUGGAAAAACAUGAUGGAGUAGAGAAGCAUCCAGUCAAGCUGUUCAGUUUUGUUCAUUCCCAUAAAAAAGUGAAAAAGAAAUGCUUUGACAGUGGUUCAAACAGUUUGAAGUUGCAAUUGUCUCAUGAUUUAGGAACCAUUACCAGUAAACCGUCAAUUUCAAACUCUGCCGUUUCAUUAUCUAGUAGUACUACAAAGUUGUCUGUUGUUGAAGUUACACCUUCAUCUUGUGAUUUGGGGGCUGCUAUUACUAAGUCACCUGUUUCAAACUCUGAGGGAUUGUUAACAACCUUCUCAAGUUUGAGUACUGAACAAAAGAAGCAAGAGGAUAAUCUUGUUCCAUCAACAUCAGUUGAAGCUGCAGCCAUCUCAAACGUUCCAAAUGUUGUUAAAACUCUGCCAGCAACAAGUGUCACAGUGUCUUGUCCAACCACUUCAGCCUUAUGUACAGCAUUGCCAGCUUUUGACAAAACAGACGAACACCAGAUCUUCAGAACACCUGCCUUCAGUUUUGUUGGUUCCACAGAAACAAAGUGCUCCAAAUCACCAUGUACACAAAAUGCUUCCAGUAAUUCUAAUGUUAAUACAGGACUAGUUAACCCCACAAUCACUUCUGAUGCUUCACACACAUCUGUAUUGCCUAGUAGCUCUGCAAUUGGAAAAGCUACUUCUUUGAACGUAACCACCAAAACAGAAAAUGAACAAGCUCUGUUUUUCCCAACAACGUCCAGAUUUGACAAGCCAUCCGAAAGCUCUUCCACAAGCAGUACAGCUGCUACUUUGACCACUGUAUUUCACAAUACUGCUGCUUGCAGUUCAUCAGAUAACAAGCAAACAAGCACCAUCACAUCAGCUCCUGACAGUGGGAAAGUCUAUUCAGUUGGAUCAGCACCUGGUUUUCCCUUUGCAAAAAUUAUAGAAUGUUCAUCAAAAAGCUCAUCCAAAUCGCCUUUCAGCUUGAGUACUUUGGGGCCUUUAGGUGAUCAAAACAAGGCAAUACCAAAAAGCUUCCUUCUCGGUUCUGAAACCGAAAGAUCCAAGUCUUUAUUCACCAGCUUUCCCAAUGUACAAUUUUCAGCUAAAUCAAAUACAUCUUUAGGAAACCAAAGUGAUUCAUCGGCCACUGAUUUGCUUUAUGCAAGAGGUGAUGCUUCUGACCUCUUCACACCUAUCCAGUCCAAAAGUGAUGUUUCAAUAUUGAAUGUUAAACAAGUACUGUCUUUUGAUGGGGGCUCAGUUUUUAAAUGUAAAGUUCCAAGUACCGUCACAGCUACUUCAUCUUUGUUUGCGUCUUCCUCCUCCUCGCUGUUUGCAGGCAAUUUUAAACAAGCUCAAAGCUUAGCAUCAUCAAAUCAAUCUACCAGUUCCUCUGAAAUUACCUCAGUUUGCUCCGUGACACAUUCAGCUGGUUCUAUUCCUACAGCUCUCACAACCUGUUUCAGUCAACAACUCUCAGCAGCAAGUGAGCAAGAAAGCACUGUUAAGCUAUUCAAGGUGAAAAAGAAGGUACCGAUAGUUGCUGAACCAUCUAAGCAUAAUAUACAUUUGUCUGAUUCUAAGCAUGAACAUUUGCCACCUAUAGUGAGUGAGCAGCAAAAUACUGAUAAAACAUCAACCAAUAUCAGUUUUGAAGACUGCAAAUCAAAAAAUACACAGGCUGAAAAGUGGUUAAGUUGUAAGCCAGUGCUACUUCAGGAGACAAAAUUAGGUGGUUCUAAAUGUCUAGGUUUCAGUAAAGAACUCUCUUCAGAAGUCAGUCAACACCAAACCAAUGCUGCAACCCAGGGUGCUGGAGUUGGAACUUGGAAAGCAAAGGCGUCUUCAUUAUCUGACAUGACAAUGAGUACAAAACAACAUGGUAAUGAUGAAGAAUCAGACCCCUUUUUGCAACCUAAGAACAUGAUACCUUCACUUGAAGAUUCAUUGGGGAAGUGUUUGAAUAAUAUAGAAGAAAGCGGAAAAGAAUCACCUGUGUUCAGUGAACAAAUUAAAGGUGUACAUGAAUUGCAUUCUUCUGAAAAUCAAGGACACACUGAAGUGUACCAUAGUCCUCCAACCUCUAGUGACUUUUGUGCUGUAGAACAUAAAAGCAACACAAGUGGUAAAGCAGACCUUUCAUGUAGUCCAGUAACGCAGAUCUCUUCAGAGCCACUAAACCUUUCAUCACACAGUAAAAGCUUUGCAUCUGUUCCACAAAGUAUUACAUCUAAAAGUAGUAGUUUUGAGGAAGCUAAUAAUAACACAAAAACAGAAGCUAUACAAACAACAUCAACUGAUUGUCCACUUGACACUCCUGCGGGUUUACACAAUGUUUUUACUUUUGGUGCAGGUAUUGGUUUCCAGUUCAAACCAGGAUGCCAGCUGUUUGCAUCAGGGUUAAAAGAGAGUAAGAGCGAUUGUGAAACUGGACCCAAACCAAUGUUCCCAUUCCCCCCUCCAGUUAAUAACCCACCCAUGUCGAUAACGGAAGAAGACAUUCUCUUCUCUAACCAAGCAAAGUUAUAUUACUUUGAAAGGACAUCCUUGCAGUGGAAGGAACGGGCAUUUGGAGAAAUUAGAAUUUUGCAACAUAAAACAACAAAACUACCUCGUCUAGUGAUGUGGAACAGUUCUAAUAAAUGUUGUGCCAAUCAUUGGAUCACAAGUAUCCUGAAACUGAAAAAUCCAAAAAACAGCAAUCACAACUGGACUUGGAGUGCACUGGAUUAUUCAGGGAAAAAGGUUAUCAGUUUAGAUUUGGCUAUACACUUCAAGCUAAAAGAAACUGCUCAGAUGUUCAAGGAGGUUUUUGAAUCAGUAAAAAACACUGAGAGGCCUGAAUCAACACAAGAAAGAUGUUCAGCAGAAAGUAAUGCUGUGGCAAAUGAUUCAAAAGAGGAAGGAAAUUCUUUGCAAGAAGGUGAUGACAAUGUGGUCGUGCUGAGUGAAGUUACACCAACUCCAGAGCAAAGAGCUCUUGCUUUAGAGUUGCGUCUUCCACCAACCUUCUUUUGUUACAAGAACAAGCCAGGAUAUCAAAGCAGUGAUGAUGAAGAUGAGAAUUUUGAGGCUGCAGUACAGAAACUUGGUGGACAGCUUUAUCCUAAUCAGAAAUAAUAUUUUUAAUGCCAUCCUGUGGUGGAGGUCACCAGAAGUGCCAGAAUUCGUUGCGCACUUCUAAUUGAUCUUGAAUGGAGGAGGCAGUUAAGAAUUGGCAACAUUGAUUCUGCCUGAACAACAGUGAGAUUUGUUUUACUUGGCAAUUACUGAAGAUAACUUGAUUUUGUAUGGUAUUUCGUAAAAGCAUAAGUGGGAUGAUGUGCAGUCUAUUCAUUAAAAUCAAGACUGAAUUAACUUUUAGUAUUAACUCCAAUUUCAUAUUUACCUUAUUUCCCUCGGUGCCCAAAAAUCUGCUGUCCAGUCAUGAAUAUAGUUAUUGCUAUUACUUUUGAAUAACCAAUUGGACCUAACAUUCAAGCAUAUUUGUUUACAUCAAUAUAUUAAAAUAUAACCUGAAGAGUUGCCUGAAAGCUCCAAGUACAAAAUAUGUGAGAUGCUUGGAUUUCCAGCAUCUGCAGAUUUAUGAAGUUCACUACACUAUUCAAUGUGAGUUUCAUAUUUGUUAUGAUGUAUAAGGAAACACUUUUGCUGUUUUUAGCAGUGUAUAUUGGUGUGAUCCAUUGUUGGUAUUCUGCAAUUGAAAUUACUUGCAGAUGUGCAUUGGGCAAAUGCAUAUAUUUUUAAUCUUUUUAAAUAGUUUUACAUAAAGAUGUGCAAGACCUAUCAGUGCAUCUAAAGUAUUUCCAAACGAUAAUAGAAAGAGCAAGGAAGUUUAAUGUAUUAUGAGUAUGUGGGAAAGGAUGCAAUUGUGUGGGUUGGUUACACUGAGCAAAAUUGAGUCUGCACAGAACCCUCACAUUUGCAUUUAACUGCAGGACAAGAUGUUUGCUCCUAAUUAGCUUUUGGAUUGAGAUUGAAAAGCUUUGAAUUGACUUGCUAAAAACAUCUAAUUAAAUUCCUGGAAAAUUUAUAAUGGGGUGUGAGAUGGAAGAGAGCUUCAAGGAAGAUGGAAAUGCAUUUAUAGCACUGUUGAGGGUUCCCCUGAUCUUCAGCGUUCCAUUCCCCAUUUUCAAAACACUAUUGAGGUGGCACUCGAUCCCAACUGAAUAGAAAAUAAACUAAUCAAUUAUGUUUUGCCCUCCUUUCAUAGAAAAUAAUCUUUUGGACUGUAAGAUGCAUAUUGUGGAGUUAAACAGGCCCUGAUAAAUUCAUGGAAAGAUACAUGUAAUUAAAAUAUGGUUUGAUAAGAAUCUAAGAUUGUUGGUUAUUUCCCCUUGCAUUUCUGUAUGAAAUGAGUUUCAUUCUUGUGUUUAUGUAUAUAUCAUUGGGGUUAGGAGUGUGAGUAGGUUAAUGUUCCAAAUUAAUAUUAAGAGCUUUUAUUUCCUAGAGUGGGAUUUUAAGGAUAUAUUGCAGUUCAUUCCAGCUAUGCAGCUAAUCCAUUCUGGAUUGUUACCAGCGCUAUACUUUCAACUUAGUGAUUUAAUUAUAAUUUUAUAUGGUUUAUUUUCUAAUCUGCCCUCUCCUUGUGUGUGAAGCAGAAUGCUUAGAAGAUUUGAGAACAGCUAAUACUUGCUGAAGGGUAUCUAGAAGAAUUCUUGUACCCGUAAGGUUUUUUUAAAAAAAAGCUGCAAACUGGAAUUAGUAUUGAUGAAUACUCUAUUGUGGGCUGAAAGACCCGUUUCUGUGAUUUGACACUGAUUCAGUAAUACAGAAAUCACUUAGAAUAGAGGAGCUUGGAGACAGAAACCCCAUAGUUUAUCACUUAAUGAUUCCACAUUUUUAACAUGAUACUUAGAAUCCACCAAAAAAAAUUGUUAUUUAUUAACAGGUGCAAAAGAGCUAUGUGCCUAUCUAACAGCUUAAAUCAUGAAUUUCAUCACCUUUUUUUCUGGAAUACUAGCAAAAUAUUUAUCAUUCAUUCUAUGAAGGUGAUAGCAUUCCUUAUUUUGAUUGUGAAUGAGUUUUAUGUUGCUCAGAAUUGUUUCUUUUGAAGAACAUUAAAUGAUAUUUUGCUAUAUGUAGCUGCCAGACCAAAUAACAUGGUAGUUUGGUAAAUGUCACCAUAUAGCAAUAUAAUGUUUUUUUUUGUCAUAGGUCCCGUGUGAUAAAACCCACACAUUCCAUGGGCAGGACAUACAAACAUAGUUCACUGGGUUAAACUCUGAACUGUAAUAGCAUCGCACUAAUUGCUACACUACCAUUGUGCCUGAAUGUUGCUGUUAGAGGUCAAGAUUCAAAUCACUACCAGCUUCACUCAAAUCACAAAAGUCUGGGUACACAAUAUUUAAGAUGGUCUGGAAUAUGCAAAAUAAAAUGAUGUUACAAAUUUACCAUUAGCCUAUAAAACCAGAAGACAAAUAUUAGGAGCAGCAUUAGUCCAUUUGGCUCAUCAAGUCUGCACUAUCAUUUGAUCAUGGCUGAUUCAUUUUCUAACUCAACCUCAAUCUUUGAUGCCCUUAUUAAGUACCUGUCAGCCUCCACUUCAAAUAUACCCAUUGACUUGGCCUUCACAGCCACAAUUCAAUAACUCUUUAGAUACCCAGGAAUCUGAUCAACAACCAAAGGCAUGAUCAGAGUUUAAUGUUAUAUAAAAAAGUUUCAAGACAAUUCUAGAAUCUGUACUAAAGGCAGAUACUUGAUUUAAGUGAAAAACCAAGAGAUGUCAAUUUGGUGGGCAGAUAAGAAUUAAUUUAACAGGUAAGCCAAAGUGAGAAACUAGUAUUAAGUUCAGAUCACAUCCCAAUUCUAGCUGCCCUUCCCAGAGCUUAUUGCAAAAAGCAAUGUUUUAGACACCCUGGAGGUGUGAUAACUAUUGAAUUCUUUAGUUCUUUCCUGGUCGAUAAGGCUAUGAAACAUUCCACGUGAGAAUCAGCUUUAGGCAAAGAAAUUCACAAUUACAUGGAAUUUUAAUGUCCUACCUACAACAACAAUGCUACUAUAAUCUACAAUAUAAUAUAGUAUAUCAAAUUAUUUGUAUUUGAGAUGCUGUUUGAGUAUUUUAUACCCCUGUAAUGUAACAAAAGGUGUUGCACAUAUUAACUGUGAUUAUCCAAAGGUAGCCACAUAAAUUUGGAAUGUAGUUGCUGUAAUUGUAUUUCAUAUCACAUUUGAUUUGAAUGCGUGACUACAA